UGACACUGAACAUUGAGCCUUGAUGUGUAGGAUAGGUGGGAGGCUUUGAAGUGUGGACGCCAGUCUGCAUGGAGCCGACCUUGAAAUACCACCCUUUAAUGUUUGAUGUUCUAACGUGGACCCGUUAUCCGGGUUGCGGACAGUGUCUGGUGGGUAGUUUGACUGGGGCGGUCUCCUCCUAAAGAGUAACGGAGGAGCACGAAGGUUGGCUAAUCCUGGUCGGACAUCAGGAGGUUAGUGCAAUGGCAUAAGCCA
Molecule: ribosomal RNA, 255 nt
Filed under: Salmonella enterica subsp. enterica serovar Tennessee
Lineage: Bacteria; Pseudomonadati; Pseudomonadota; Gammaproteobacteria; Enterobacterales; Enterobacteriaceae
Description: partial 23S ribosomal RNA
Rfam family: Bacterial large subunit ribosomal RNA
Source: RNAcentral